UUCCAGAUGUAGGGCUAUGAGGCUGC
RNAcentral lists this non-coding RNA (26 nucleotides) under Rattus norvegicus (Norway rat). The record is from RNAcentral. Lineage: Eukaryota; Metazoa; Chordata; Mammalia; Rodentia; Muridae.